This 749-nucleotide ribosomal RNA is filed under the name Chaetoceros socialis. RNAcentral describes it as "eukaryotic LSU rRNA". It matches the Rfam family "Eukaryotic large subunit ribosomal RNA", at positions 80 to 846 of the family's 3401-position model. The record is from RNAcentral. Lineage: Eukaryota; Bacillariophyta; Thalassiosirophyceae; Chaetocerotales; Chaetocerotaceae.
UCAGUAACGGCGAGUGAAGCGGGAAGAGCUCAUUCUGUGAAUCUGUAUGCUCUUUUGGUAUACCGAGUUGUAGAAUAUAGAAGCACAUCAGUGCGAAUUCCGGUCUAAGUCUCUUGGAAAAGAGCAGCUAAGAGGGUGAGACUCCCGUUCUUGGCUGGAAUUCAAACUUUAGCAUGUGGUUUCGACGAGUCGAGUUGCUUGGGAUUGCAGCUCAAAGUUGGUGGUAAAUUCCAUCUAAAGCUAAAUAUCGGUGGGAGACCGAUAGCGUACAAGUACCGUGAGGGAAAGAUGCAAAGAACUUUGAAAAAAGAGUUAAAGAGUACCUGAAAUUGCUGAAAUGGAAGCGAAGGAAACCAGUGCCGUUCUGUAUCAUUCUUCCGUCCUUGCUUGCGAGGGUGGCGCUGUGAUGCAGGAUAGGCCAGCGUGGGUUUGAGCCGAAGGAAGCAGCUCUUCAGGAGGCAGCGCAAUUUCUGUGCGAUUACUGUUGAGCUUUGCUUCGGCUUGGACUGAGGCUAGUCACUUGUGCUCGUGACGCUGGCGAAAUGGUUUUCUUUACCCCGUCUUGAAACACGGACCAAGGAGUCUAACAUAUGUGCGAGUAUAUGAGUGACAAACUCACAUGCGAAAUGAAAGUAACAGUGGUUGGACCUUCUGGGCACAAUCCGCCGGCCACAAUCCUUCGGGAGAAAGGUCUGAGUGUGAGCAUACAUGUUGGGACCCGAAAGAUGGUGAACUAUGCCUGAAUAGGG